RNAcentral lists this transfer RNA (62 nucleotides) under Burara striata. Its description in RNAcentral is "tRNA-Ser". The record is from RNAcentral. Lineage: Eukaryota; Metazoa; Arthropoda; Insecta; Lepidoptera; Hesperiidae.
GAAAUAUAUUAUAAUUAGGCUACUAACUUAAUUUUUAGUGAUUUAAUUUCAUUAAUAUUUCU